This 1606-nucleotide ribosomal RNA is filed under the name metagenome. RNAcentral describes it as "bacterial LSU rRNA". It matches the Rfam family "Bacterial large subunit ribosomal RNA", at positions 1235 to 2925 of the family's 2925-position model. The record is from RNAcentral.
AGCGUCGAAUACGGGGCGAAGUCAUACCGAAAGGAAUGGUGGACUGUAUUCGAGUGAGAAUGCCGGAAUGAGUAGCGAGAAUUAUGUGGGAAUCAUAAUGGCCGAAAGUCUAAGGUUUCCUGGGGAAGGUUCGUCCGCCCAGGGUAAGCCGGGAGCUAAGGCGAGGCCGCAAGGCGUAGUCGAUGCACAUACGGUAGAAAUUCCGUAGCCGGCACAAUCGUUAAGCAUACUGACACAUGAGAGUAGCUCUACCGGGCGUUGGUUGCCCCGGGCGUAAGCGAGCCGAAUGAGGCGAAGUGAGUAAAUCUUGUGGCGAGAAAAGGUGUGUGUAUUGGUUGGGCUGCCCGUACCGCAAACCGACACAGGUAGAUGAGGAGAAGAUCCUAAGGCCAUCGGGAGAAGGGUUGUUAAGGAACUAGGCAAAUUGACCCCGUAACUUCGGGAGAAGGGGUGCCUACGAGAGUAGGCCGCAGAGAAUCGGCCCAAGCAACUGUUUACCAAAAACACAGGUCUCUGCUAAAUCGAAAGAUGACGUAUAGGGGCUGACGCCUGCCCGGUGCUGGAAGGUUAAGAGGAGGACUUAGUGGCAACACGAAGGCCCGAAUUGAAGCCCCAGUAAACGGCGGCCGUAACAAUAACGGUCCUAAGGUAGCGAAAUUCCUUGUCAGGUAAGUUCUGACCCGCACGAAAGGCGUAAUGAUUUGGGCACUGUCUCAACAGCCCGCCCGGCGAAAUUGUAGUACCGGUGAAGAUGCCGGUUACCCGCAACUAGACGGAAAGACCCCAUGGAGCUUUACUGCAGCUUAAUACUGAGAUUCGGUAAAUCAUGUACAGGAUAGGUGGGAGACUAAGAAGCCAGGCCGUCAGGUUUGGUGGAGUCGCCCUUGGGAUACCACCCUUGGUUUGCUGGGUUUCUAACCUGCGGCCCUGAAUCGGGUCGGGGGACACUGUUAGGCGGGCAGUUUGACUGGGGCGGUCGCCUCCUAAAAUGUAACGGAGGCGCUCAAAGGUUGGCUCAGCAUGGAUGGAAACCAUGCAAUGAGUGUAAACGUAUAAGCCAGCCUGACUGCGAGACCGACGGGUCGAGCAGAGACGAAAGUCGGAGUUAGUGAUCCGGUGGUACGUGAGUGGAAAUGCCAUCGCUCAACGGAUAAAAGCUACCCUGGGGAUAACAGGCUGAUCUCCCCCAAGCGUCCACAGCGACGGGGAGGUUUGGCACCUCGAUGUCGGCUCGUCGCAUCCUGGGGCUGAAUUAGGUCCCAAGGGUUUGGCUGUUCGCCAAUUAAAGCGGCACGCGAGCUGGGUUCAGAACGUCGUGAGACAGUUCGGUCCCUAUCUGUUGCGGGCGUAGGAGAUUUGAAGGGAGCUGACCUUAGUACGAGAGGACCGGGUUGGACGUACCUCUGGUGUACCAGUUGUUCUGCCAAGGGCAUGGCUGGGUAGCUACGUACGGACGAGAUAAACGCUGAAGGCAUCUAAGCGUGAAACUCUCCCUGAGAUAAGAUCUCCACUGAGGCUCGACGUAGACUAUGUCGUUGAUAGGUCAGAGGUGGAAGCACAGCAAUGUGUGCAGCUGACUGAUACUAAUAAGCCGAAAGCUUGACUG